Molecule: long non-coding RNA, 754 nt
Filed under: Rattus norvegicus (Norway rat)
Lineage: Eukaryota; Metazoa; Chordata; Mammalia; Rodentia; Muridae
Description: long non-coding RNA NONRATT025234
Source: RNAcentral
GAUGCUUCUUCCCAUAAGAUGGAGUUACACUGUGGCAAACCCACCACUAGCGGAAGAUUCCAUACGUCAGAGAUGCAUUUAAUUCAUCUGGCUUACAAAACACCAGGGCUUAGCCCAGCCUACCUUCAGCUCUGCUCAAAACAUGUAUUUUGGGCAAAGAGUUCUAACACAAAACAUACACCACGUGUUCAUAAUUCAUGCAGUUUACCAACUGCCGCUCUGAAGGGGAGAAACAGAACGGUUUUAUGAAGGGGUGUUAACACCACCACAAAGCUGAAAGAUGAUGGUAUAUCAAGUCACUGUAAGUCAGGGGUCGUGUGCAGCCAUGCUUGGCUUCUGCAGCAGCCUUUGUAUUGCCGUUUUCCAUUGCUGUGAUAAAUAUGUCAGGAAGGAAAGGGUUACUGUGUCUCACGGCUCAGGGGAUAGUGGUCAUUAUCUUGGUAAGGGAGGCACGGUGGAAGCAGAGUCUUGUUCACAUCUGGGCACAUCAGGAAGCAGAGAGAGGAGCCAUGUUGUACUUAGCUGCUUUCUCCUGUUUUCAUUUUUGUUCGGUCCGGAUCCCUCAGCAUGAGAUGGGACUGUGGGGCUCGGGGCUGCCCACCUCACCAUAGGCAUUGUUUGCUCAGUUAAACCUCCCUUGAGUUCUUUCUGCUCCUUCUUUUCUUCCUCUGCCUCCUUCUUCCCAUUCUCUUCUCUAUGUACCAAAUAUUUCACUCAAACUCUCUAUGUUUACCUUCUCUUUAAAAAGCAAAAC